This 869-nucleotide ribosomal RNA is filed under the name Phaeosphaeriaceae sp. Its description in RNAcentral is "LSU rRNA". It matches the Rfam family "Eukaryotic large subunit ribosomal RNA", at positions 64 to 952 of the family's 3401-position model. Lineage: Eukaryota; Fungi; Ascomycota; Dothideomycetes; Pleosporales; Phaeosphaeriaceae. The record is from RNAcentral.
ACCAACAGGGAUUGCCCUAGUAACGGCGAGUGAAGCGGCAACAGCUCAAAUUUGAAAUCUGGCUCUUUCAGAGUCCGAGUUGUAAUUUGCAGAGGGCGCUUUGGCGUUGGCAGCGGUCCAAGUUCUUUGGAACAGGACGUCACAGAGGGUGAGAAUCCCGUACGUGGUCGCUAGACUUCGCCGUGUAAAGCCCCUUCGACGAGUCGAGUUGUUUGGGAAUGCAGCUCUAAAUGGGAGGUAAAUUUCUUCUAAAGCUAAAUACUGGCCAGAGACCGAUAGCGCACAAGUAGAGUGAUCGAAAGAUGAAAAGCACUUUGGAAAGAGAGUCAAAUAGCACGUGAAAUUGUUGAAAGGGAAGCGCUUGCAGCCAGACUUGCCUGUAGUUGCUUAUCCAGACUUUUGUCUGGUGCACUCUUCUGCGGGCAGGCCAGCAUCAGUUUGGGCGGUUGGAUAAAGGUCUCUAUCACGUACCUCUCUUCGGGGAGGCCUUAUAGGGGAGACGCCAUGCAACCAGCCCAGACUGAGGUCCGCGCAUCUGCUAGGAUGCUGGCGUAAUGGCUGUAAGCGGCCCGUCUUGAAACACGGACCAAGGAGUCUAACAUCUAUGCGAGUGUUUGGGUGUCAAGCCCAUACGCGUAAUGAAAGUGAACGGAGGUGGGAACCUUUUAGGUGCACCAUCGACCGAUCCUGAUGUCUUCGGAUGGAUUUGAGUAAGAGCAUGGCUGUUGGGACCCGAAAGAUGGUGAACUAUGCUUGAAUAGGGUGAAGCCAGAGGAAACUCUGGUGGAGGCUCGCAGCGGUUCUGACGUGCAAAUCGAUCGUCAAAUUUGGGCAUAGGGGCGAAAGACUAAUCGAACUAUCUAGUAGCU